This 984-nucleotide long non-coding RNA is filed under the name Marmota monax (woodchuck). Lineage: Eukaryota; Metazoa; Chordata; Mammalia; Rodentia; Sciuridae. The record is from RNAcentral.
CAGUCUCUCUCGGUUGAGAAUUUUCUAGUUUGCUGUGAACCUUGUUUUCUUAGGGAGUACUCCUGCUUCUUUUGUGAAUUGCAUCUUCUUUUUUACUCUGAGAAACAUUAUACUGUUUUCUUUUUGGUGCCUGUAUCUUAUUUAUCCUCCUAAUUCAUUUGUUCCAUAUAACUGCAGGUUUACCCUUUGACCCACAUCUCCCCCUUUCCUUCUCACCUUGGCCUCUGGUGAUCACUGUUUCUAUGUGUUUGAUGCUUUUAGAUUCCAUGAUAAGUGAGAUCCUGAACGCUCUUCUUUCUGGCUUAUUUCACUGAGCAUGAUGCCAUCAGCAACACCACAGUGAUCCUGGAGAAGAGGUAACCACUGCCUGCCCGUGGAGAUGGCAGUGAUUCAUGGGCUCCCCCACUCGCUGUUGGUAGACCGGAGAGGCAGGCGUUUUCAUCAAUUGCUGGUGAAAGGGUGAAAUGAUACGAACUUCAGGGAGGUGACAUCAUCAGCUACCUUUUGACCCUAGGUUCUACUUUAAAGGUAUCCUUCUAAUGUAAAACAAUACAUAGUAAAGAAAAAGGAAAUCAUUUCAUUUGCAGGAAAAUGAAUGGAACGAGAGACCACCAUGUUAGGAAAAAGCAGUCAAACUCAGAAGGUCAAGGGUCAUAUGUUUUCUCUCAUAUGCGGAAGCUAGAGAGGAAAAAGUAAAACAAAGAUAUAAAUAAAAUAUAUCCUUUGUGUAAAUCUUUUAGAUAUAUUGAGAUAUAUUUAUAGAUAUAUUUAGAUAUAUCAAAGGGAGAUGAGUAGAGGAAAGGGACCAAGGGGUGGGAGUUGCAUGGGUAUGUGUAUAAACAUUCAUCAAGGAGGGGGAAGUACUGGGGACUGAUCCUGGCCAAAUUAUAUUGUUAUAUUGUGUGCAUGUGCCAAUAUGCAACAAAAAAUCCCAUCCCAUCAUUCUGUACAACUAUGAUGCACCAAUAAAACUGUGGAAAAACA